This 374-nucleotide unclassified non-coding RNA is filed under the name plant metagenome. RNAcentral's name for it is "partial contains 5.8S ribosomal RNA, internal transcribed spacer 2, and large subunit ribosomal RNA". The stretch from base 1 to 101 matches the Rfam family "5.8S ribosomal RNA", at positions 50 to 154 of the family's 154-position model. The record is from RNAcentral.
AAAAUACGAAAAGUAAUAUGAAUUGCAGAAACGAAUCAUCGAAUCUUUGAACGCACCUUGCGCUCCUUGGUAUUCCUUGGAGCAUGCCUGUUUGAGUAUCAUGAAAUCUUCAAAGUAAAUCUUUUGUUAACUCAAUUGGUUUCUACUUUGGUAUUGGAGGUCUUUGCAGCUUCACACCUGCUCCUCUUUGUUCAUUAGCUGGAUCUCAGUGUUAUGCUUGGUUCCACUCGGCGUGAUAAGUUAUCUAUCGCUGAGGACACUGUAAAAGGUGGCCAAGGUAAAUGCAGAUGAACCGCUUCUAAUAGUCCAUUGACUUGGACAAUACUUUUAUGAUCUGAUCUCAAAUCAGGUAGGACUACCCGCUGAACUUAAGC